GACAGGUGCUGCAUGGCUGUCGUCAGCUCGUGUUGUGAAAUGUUGGGUUAAGUCUCGCAACGAGCGCAACCCCUAUCUUUAGUUGCCAGCAUUAAGUUGGGCACUCUAGAGAGACUGCCCGGGUUAACCGGGAGGAAGGUGGGGAUGACGUCAAGUCCUCAUGGCCCUUAUGCCUAGGGCUACACACGUAAUACAAUGGUGCAUACAAUGGGAAGCGACCUGGCAACAGUGAGCAAAUCUCAAAAAGUGCAUCUCAGUCCGGAUUGGAGUCUGCAACUCGACUCCAUGAAGUUGGAAUCGCUAGUA
This 306-nucleotide ribosomal RNA is filed under the name uncultured Peredibacter sp. RNAcentral's name for it is "bacterial SSU rRNA". It matches the Rfam family "Bacterial small subunit ribosomal RNA", at positions 1033 to 1340 of the family's 1533-position model. The record is from RNAcentral. Lineage: Bacteria; Pseudomonadati; Bdellovibrionota; Bacteriovoracia; Bacteriovoracales; Bacteriovoracaceae.